This is a non-coding RNA of Lentinula raphanica, 94 nucleotides long. Lineage: Eukaryota; Fungi; Basidiomycota; Agaricomycetes; Agaricales; Omphalotaceae. The record is from the annotation of a GenBank genome assembly.
GUUCACUUAGCUCAAUGGUUAGAGCACUUGGGGUUUGUGGGCAUAUCUCAGAGGUUGUACUCAAGCGAUGCGGGUUCGAAUCCCACAGUGGACC